AUUGAACGCUGGCGGCAUGCCUAACACAUGCAAGUCGAACGGCAGCACGGGAGCAAUUCUUGCAUCGCGUGGCGGACGGGUGAGUAAUACCUAGGAAUGUGCCACAUCGUGGGGGAUAACGCCCCGAAAGCGGUGCUAAUACCGCAUCCGAUCUACGGCUGAAAGCGGGGGAUCGCAAGACCUUGCGCGCUUGGAGCGGCCGAUGUCCGAUUAGGUAGUUGGUGGGGUAAAGGCUCACCAAGGCUGCGAUCGGUAGCUGGUCUGAGAGGAUGACCAGCCACACUGGAACUGAGACACGGUCCAGACUCCUACGGGAGGCAGCAGUGGGGAAUAUUGGACAAUGGGCGAAAGCCUGAUCCAGCCAUGCCGCGUGUAGGAAGAAGGCCUUCGGGUUGUAAAGUGCUUUAAGACGGGAGGAAGCGGUGUUAGUUAAUACCGAAGGCUAUUGACGGUACCGGAAGAAUAAGCACCGGCUAACUACGUG
RNAcentral lists this ribosomal RNA (484 nucleotides) under uncultured bacterium. RNAcentral's name for it is "partial 16S ribosomal RNA". It matches the Rfam family "Bacterial small subunit ribosomal RNA", at positions 30 to 507 of the family's 1533-position model. The record is from RNAcentral.